This 815-nucleotide ribosomal RNA is filed under the name Pueraria montana var. thomsonii. RNAcentral describes it as "eukaryotic LSU rRNA". The stretch from base 353 to 509 matches the Rfam family "5.8S ribosomal RNA". The record is from RNAcentral. Lineage: Eukaryota; Viridiplantae; Streptophyta; Magnoliopsida; Fabales; Fabaceae.
GUAAAAAGUCGUAAACAAGGUUUCCGUAGGUGAACCUGCGGAAGGAUCAUUGUCGAUGCCUCACAAUCAGACCGACCGGCGAAUUCGUUUUUCCAUCUACCAGCAGGCAGGCAGGGGACGGGCUUCUUCCGUCCUCCCCCUGCUCUGCCUGUUGCGUUGGGUCGGGGGGGAGGGAGGGGGGACGCAAAGCAUUGUUGUUCUGCGCCCAACCUCUCCUCCUCCUUCCCCAACAAACACAAACCCCGGCGCUUCGUGCGCCAAGGAACUCCAAUCUGUCAAGUUGUGCGACUCCCAACGGCCCGGAGACGGUGCCCCGCGGGCGUUGUCACGACACACACGAUUUAUACAAAAUGACUCUCGGCAACGGAUAUCUCGGCUCUUGCAUCGAUGAAGAACGUAGCGAAAUGCGAUACUUGGUGUGAAUUGCAGAAUCCCGUGAACCAUCGAGUCUUUGAACGCAAGUUGCGCCCGAAGCCAUUUAGGCAGAGGGCACGCCUGCCUGGGUGUCACACAUCGUUACCCCAACGCAAACAGACGUUCCCACACGACGGCCGUUGCGUAGUAGGGUGCACGCUGACCUCCCGCGAGCGGCGUCUCGCGGUUGGUUGAAAAUCGAGUUCGCGGCCGAGCACGCCGUGAUAAAAUGGUGGAUGAGCAACGCUCGAGACCAAUCACGCGCUGCGACUCGGUCCGCGAAGGACUCCCUGAUCGAUGACGACCCUACAGUGCGCCUCCUCUCCGGAGACGCUCUCUACGAGACCUCAGGUCAGGCGGGGCUACCCGCUGAGUUUAAGCAUAUCAAUAAGCCGGAGGAA